Molecule: long non-coding RNA, 4473 nt
Organism: Mastomys coucha (southern multimammate mouse)
Lineage: Eukaryota; Metazoa; Chordata; Mammalia; Rodentia; Muridae
Exons: 2
Source: RefSeq, a predicted model, not a curated record
CACCCCUCUUCACUGAACCUCAGCUCCACCUCCAUCCUGAGGAGCUUCGGGAAUCACACCAAUCUUGUAGGCUGGGCCAGGAAGCAUUGGCCCAAUGUGCAAUGGAUGACAGGAAUCUGUCCACUUUCCAUGCCUGUUGCCCGCCACACCAGUGGGUGUCUGUCCCUGUCUCAGGCAUUCCACGGAGGGCCACAUGCUGGCCUGUCCCAUGGGUGCUUCUCAAUAUCGUGAGGGUUUGAAGGGCUAGAAUAAUACUUAGGGAAGAGCCAGGCCAGUUGGUUACCCAUGCAGUUCCUAGUAUCUGAGGUGAGACUGCCCAUGAUGGGUUUCUAUUCUUAAUGCCAGUACAAUGCAUGGUCACCUCUCUUUGUCACUGGCUCUUCCUAUGAGCCUGGGCAUCAGAGGAGGGACAUACUUUGCUGACCCACUGGACACAGCUGAUGGUCAAGCUGGGUCAUUGUGGCCCAAAGCAUCACAUCUCCUGAGGUGGGGGUUGGGAAGUGUAGGAAGAAGCAUCCUACAUGGAGUCCGGGCUGGUGGUACCUGAAGUACUUUUUGUCUCUGGGACAUUUGCUUUCUAGCCGACGGCUAUCCCACGGCCUGCUUCUUUCCUGUGCCACAUCCUACCCUAGACCAUUUCUACUUUGAGACGUUGAUGCCAGCAACAGAAGCCUUUGUGUUGGUUGGCUCUCCAGUCUGUGUGUGAGACCAUCCCUUAGCCUGUCAUGUCCUCAGGGCCACCCUGUUGGAAACAGCACAGAAUGUCCUCCUGAGUCUAUGAGGCAGUGAUGCCCAAGCUCUGUCCCUGCAUCUUGCGCACAGGGGUCCCAGCAGGGGUUAGCCUGUACUUCUUCAUGUUUUCUCCAACUUUAUACUCUGGCUCCAUCUGACCAUAGCGGCUUGACCUGGAGACUCAGGGACCCCAGAAAGUAGCUGAUCAUGCCCAGUUGGAGCCUUUGAAAGACAGACUGUAGAUUUUUGGUAUUUAGUAAGGCUCCCCGGGGUGGCAAAGCUUUCUUUCUGAUUAGGCUUGCUCCCGGUGCUUCAUCCCUGCUCCCCUCACCCUGGCAAUUCUACCAUGCAUGCUUUUUCUCCUCUUCUGGGCCUUCCUCAGCAGCAAAAUGCUCUUCCAACAGAGAUAGUGGCUGCGCACCAUGGCUUAAGAGUUCUUCCUCUGGUUCAGGAUGGUCUACCUGCGCCACUGGUCCUGGUUGCUAUCUCCCCCGAAGCCCAGCCCUCUUCCUUGGCCCUUAGCAUGUACUCCCUUUCACAGAGUUCAGGACUCCAAGGGAGAUAGUGUUCCCUGAGUGACACUGCAGGCAGCUGACACCACAAUCCAGCUCCUUUCUUUGUGAUACACCCUCACACUGCUUGUUAGCUAUGGCUCCCCAGGUGCCUGCUAUCCCAAAUUGCCUAAUACUGCCUACAUGUUCCCAACCUCUCCCUGACCCCCACCCCACCCCCCCAAAAAGGCUAUAAGAUUUCCCAAGACAGAGGGGGACCUUUCCUUUGCACCUUUUUCCCUCCCUCUCCUUCCCUCUCCCUUCCCUCCCUCCCUCCUUACCUUCUUUCUUCCCUUCCCUCCCUCCCGUCUUACUUGCUUGACUUAUCCUCUGCUGUAUUCUAAGCCUUAGGAUCCAGGCCAGGUCUAUAGUGACAGAAUAAUGGAGUGUGCUGAUUGACUAAUAGAGUCCCCAAAGGCAGAAACCAUAUUAGGUUAAUCCCCAGGAAAGUGGUGAGCAUGAAGCAGGAAUUUCAUAAGAUGUGGUGGCUGAUUCCAUAAAUAUGGAAGCUGGGUUCGAACAGCCUUUGCAUUUGUUAGAGGCCUCCUGCCCCAGCAUGUCACUGAGUUCUGAGACUUGCUGCAGUAGGGCAGAGACCCGUCAGCUAGGUCUGUGGGCUUUUCUUUCCUUCUGUAGCUGGGGUCUCAUGCUAGGCUUCAAGUUCAGCUGAGCACAACCCCCACCCUCCACUCCAUGAAUGUCUGUGGCAGUGAGCCAGAGGCCCCUUGGCGGCCCUUGUGCAGCAGGCCUGAGCUGCUGUCAGGGCUAAUAUUUUAUGCAUGGACCUAAGUAAAUGGGAACAUUUGGAGAUGGAAAUUGCUGUUAAUGACACAUCUUUGGAAUAUAUUAAACGCGUGCAAGAAGGCUGCCGAUCUCUCCAUUUAAUUGCUCCAAUGUAAGCGCAGCCACACCACAGCAUGCACAGAUAGGCUACCCCUAGUCUCUUCACCACUCAUGGGGAAAGCCCCAGGUACCUCACCCACCAAGGGAGUAUUAUGUACAAGAUGGAAUGUCAGCUGGGGUGCCAAGCAAUCACCGACACACACACUCCAAAUUCAUUGGAGACCCUAGAGGAUGAGCCCUCCUACUUGGUGCAGACUUUUAUUAAAAGCAAAAUUACUAGAUUUACUUGAGGAGAAGAAAAGGCAAAUAAAAGACUUUUCUCAUCCAGUGAGUCAAGUGAAAAUAUCUGUCCCUCAGGCAGGCAGGAGGAAAGCCUGGUGGGGGGGACCUUCAGAGGUCAGAGAAUUCACCAGCUCCAAGAUAGUGUGUCAACCCAGUGUGCCAAGGUCACAGAACACAGACUAUUUCUCUGUGCCAGUUAGCCUAUUCCAUAGUUCCUUGGGAUGUGUUUAGACUAAGCCAAUGGUCUGUUCCUUUACUAUUUUCAAGGAGAUGGUAUGUGUGUGUGUGUGUUUGUGUGUGUGUGUGUGUGUGUGUGUGUGUGUGUGUGUGUGUGUGUGUACUGGCUGUCCCCAGUAAGCAUGUGUGGAGGGUGAGGGAAGUCUUGCUCAAAGAAGUUGAGUCGUCUUCCCAGGAUCACACAGCUAGAGACAGGACUCCAGGCUGUAUGUCCUUAACACCUUUGCUUGUGCUGGCUUAUGUCUCUCCAGAGAAGACCCCAUGUGCCAUAGGUGACAGACAGUUCACUGACUUGCUCUCCACGUUCUCUCUGUACAGUGAGGCAGGCUCGCUCUCCCCAAGGCACUGCUUGGCAGGACUGUCAGGAUUGUUGCUUUUCCCUUUGAGUUUACCUAAGUUAACUGAGAUGCUUUUCCUGAGGAGGGGCUGCCUGCUCCAUCACAAACCUGUGCGUGUGUGUGCAGUGUGAGCCUGAUGCACCUGCUCAAUGGCUGGUGAGCUGCACACCCUCCCGGCUCGUGUGCUGGGUGGGCUAGGGCAGUCCUAGAGAUAGAGUGAUUUCGUAAAGUUUCUUUGUCAAGGCUUGAAGGGCCGUGGCAGCCUGUUUACCCCUUGAGCUGCUCACAGUAGAUGCUCAGAAGAAAGCUGUCUUCCUUGCAUCAAAUGGGCUUAGGCACCAGCACCAAGGGGAUGAGGAAUGGAUGGCCGUGGGGAUGCUCAGAGACUGUUUGUGGAAUGAACAAAUAAAAGCACACCCUUUUUGAGGAAAUUAAGAAACAGGGACAAGAAGAAACAUCCAGGGAAGGCAACAUAAAUCUCUAGCAGUGUUACCAACGCCACAGCUGGGUCCUCUGAAAAGACCCUGUGGAGGUGGUGGGGUCAUUUGUCAUGGGCAAGGACAGGCUUAAGGGCUGGGACAUGGGGCCUGAUGGAGGCUCGUCCAUCAUUUUCUCAUUAUCCCUUUGAUGUGGAGGGCAGCUAGCGGAUCACAGAACAGCAGCCUCCCAAGAAGGUGGCAGGACUGUGAGUGCGAGGGACCCCGAGGGAGGGCAGGCUGCCCCAGGCCCUGCCCCCUCCAGGAAGCCUUCUUGCUCCAGCCCAACACACGAUCUCACUUGUCCUCGGAUGUUCGUCAUGUGAUCUUUUACCAACGCAGCUGUGGAGGGGCCUUGAUAACGUGUUGCCAUGUGUCCCCGCGCUUGCCUAGGUUUGGUAUAGUGGAGACACUAUGAACACUUUCUGGAUUUGUCUUUUCAUUUUUAGGCAGGUGGUGCUGAAUUGGUCCUCCGGAGGGGAUGUUCAGGAACCCUGCCUACACUCCAUGCCAGCUGCCAGUCCUAGGUUGGGACAUUGCAUGGGAGAGCUGUGGCUAUUAACAGGUCCUGAGGCCUGACCUGAAGCCAUCAGUGGCCCAGCAGCUGCUCUACCUUUUGUUGCCUUUUCCUCCCUGGAUCUCCUGCUUAUGGGACAACAAAGCGACAACAAAGAUGUUUGGCCCCAGAAGAUGCUCCCCACAGCCCACCUGAAAGGACUAUCCUCGACCCAGUGGGAUGCAGUACCACUUCCCCUCCCCCUCCACGGCACCCUGUGCCAUCCACCUCUGAGUCCCCAACCUGUAGCCCCUGCUUCUCACCCAUGCCUCAACUCCCACCCCAAGCCUUGCAUUUCACAUCUGAGCAGCCCUUGCUUAGGAACCUGAGGUGGGUGGGGGUGGAUAGGCAGACCCAGGGUCUGAGCAGGGAGGGGCAGGAGAGAUUUCUGCUUGUGGCUUUCAAAGUCUCAGUGUGUAUAGCCCUUUGAAUAAUAAACAUAUAUCAUAAAAUGCAAA